AGCAGUAGCCACGGUAAUACCAGCACCUCGAGUGGUCAGGAGGUUUAUUGGGCCUAAAGCAUCCGUAGCCGGUUGCAUAAGUUUUCGGUUAAAUCUAUGCGCUUAACGUAUAGGCCGCCGAAAAUACUGUGCAGCUAGGGAGUGGGAGAGGUACACGGUACUCGAUAGGAAGGGGUAAAAUCCUUUGAUCUAUUGAUGACCACCUGUGGCGAAGGCGGUGUACCAGAACACGUUCGACGGUAAGGGAUGAAAGCUGGGGGAGCAAACCGGAUUAGAUACCCGCGUAGUCCCUGUCUCUUAUAC
RNAcentral lists this ribosomal RNA (303 nucleotides) under uncultured bacterium. RNAcentral's name for it is "partial 16S ribosomal RNA". It matches the Rfam family "Archaeal small subunit ribosomal RNA", at positions 457 to 760 of the family's 1478-position model. The record is from RNAcentral.